This 252-nucleotide ribosomal RNA is filed under the name uncultured bacterium. RNAcentral describes it as "partial 16S ribosomal RNA". It matches the Rfam family "Bacterial small subunit ribosomal RNA", at positions 524 to 776 of the family's 1533-position model. The record is from RNAcentral.
UACGGAGGAUGCGAGCGUUAUCCGGAUUUAUUGGGUUUAAAGGGUGCGUAGGCGGUCCGGAAAGUCAGCGGUAAAAGCCCGGGGCUCAACCCCGGCGAGCCGUUGAAACUGUCGGACUAGAGACGGCGAGAAGUACGCGGAAUGCGCGGUGUAGCGGUGAAAUGCAUAGAUAUCGCGCAGAACUCCGAUUGCGAAGGCAGCGUACCGGCGCCGGACUGACGCUCAGGCACGAAAGCGUGGGUAUCGAACAGG